Molecule: long non-coding RNA, 689 nt
Filed under: Volvox carteri
Lineage: Eukaryota; Viridiplantae; Chlorophyta; Chlorophyceae; Chlamydomonadales; Volvocaceae
Description: long non-coding RNA (VCAR_LNC003042)
Source: RNAcentral
AAGUGUUGCCUUAAGCUGCCAGACUCCCCAAGACACGGUUUAGGUGUUGAAGGGUUAACAGGGGUGUGUAAAUUUGCAUGGACGCGAUAUAUAGACAUGCUUUGAGCGAGCGGUGCUAGCGAAUAUGUCUCCAUUGGAGACGGAGAACAUGUUCAGUUUCCUUCUCUCUCUACCCGUCUUCACCGCCUGACAGCACGAGGCGCGAAAGCUCGCCUGCCUUGUGAUGGCGCGUAUUAGCGUUGUGCCGCAGCACUGCUUUACAGGCUCGACGAUGUGAGCACGCUCUGUGCCCUUAAAUUGCUCAGAAGCCAAUGCCGCUUGCUCUUGCCUGGAUCCUGUACCAUGACGUACUGCUUUGUCGUUGAUCAUCAUAUUUCGCUCUACUCUGCAGGUUCCACGUGAAGAGGUACUAGGUUCUCAACGAGGGCGAUCAGGAUGUUAAGGGUUCACGGCUCUUGCCGUAACUGGUGCGUAUAGUUGAUACCGCGUUUCUUAUUGUAUGAACUCCCUAGUGUGGAGGGCAAAUGGUAAAUGGCGAUCAUAACAGUUAACGGCUCAACAUUGGCCGGUGUUCAUUCAGUUGCCAGUAUGAAAGUUCGUUUGGUUCGCUUGUUGCGCAUCAUAUCUGUGGUCGAGUUUCUCGGUUUUCGUGGAAGAAAGCUUACGUGCAUGCACCUUUUUGAAAAUCC